UAGGGGGCAAGCGUUGUCCGAAAUCAUUGGGCGGUAAAGAGCGUGUAGGCGGUCCGAUAAGUCCGUUGUGAAAGUCAAGGGCUCAACCCUUGAAUGCCGGUGGAUACUGUCGGACUAGAGUCCGGAAGAGGCGAGUGGAAUUCCUGGUGUAGCGGUGAAAUGCGCAGAUAUCAGGAGGAACACCGAUGGCGAAGGCAGCUCGCUGGGACGGUACUGACGCUCAGGCGCGAAAGCGUGGGGAGCGAACAGGAUUAGAUACCCUGGUAGUCCACGCCGUAAACGAUGGGCACUAGGUGUGGGAGGUGUCGACUCCUCCCGUGCCGUAGUAACGCACUAAGUGCCCCGCCUGGGGAGUACGGCCGCAAGGCUAAAACUCAAAGGAAUUGACGGGGGCCCGCACAAGCAGCGGAGCAUGUGGUUUAAUUCGACGCAACGCGAAGAACCUUACCUGGGCUUGACAUGUUCGCGACAGGUGUGGAAACACAUCCCUCUUCGGGGCGCGAUCACAGGUGGUGCAUGGCUGUCGUCAGCUCGUGUCGUGAGAUGUUGGGUUAAGUCCCGCAACGAGCGCAACCCUCGUCGCAUGUUGCCAGCGGUUCGGCCGGGGACUCAUGCGAGACUGCCGGUGACAAACCGGAGGAAGGUGGGGAUGACGUCAAGUCAUCAUGCCCCUUAUGUCCAGGGCUACACACGUGCUACAUUGGCGCAUACAAAGGGGUUGCGAUACCGCGAGGUGGAGCGAAUCCCANGAAAGUGCGUCUCGGUUCGGAUUGGAGGCUGAAACUCGCCUCCAUGAAGGCGGAGUUGCUAGUAA
This 814-nucleotide ribosomal RNA is filed under the name uncultured Actinomycetes bacterium. Its description in RNAcentral is "bacterial SSU rRNA". It matches the Rfam family "Bacterial small subunit ribosomal RNA", at positions 528 to 1341 of the family's 1533-position model. Lineage: Bacteria; Bacillati; Actinomycetota; Actinomycetes. The record is from RNAcentral.